This 492-nucleotide ribosomal RNA is filed under the name uncultured bacterium. RNAcentral describes it as "partial 16S ribosomal RNA". It matches the Rfam family "Bacterial small subunit ribosomal RNA", at positions 29 to 507 of the family's 1533-position model. The record is from RNAcentral.
AGUGAACGCUGGCGGUAGGCCUAACACAUGCAAGUCGAACGGCAGCACAGUAAGAGCUUGCUCUUACGGGUGGCGAGUGGCGGACGGGUGAGUAAUACAUCGGAAUCUACUUUUUCGUGGGGGAUAACGUAGGGAAACUUACGCUAAUACCGCAUACGACCUUCGGGUGAAAGCAGGGAAUCUUCAGACCUCGGGCGAUUGAAUGAGCCGAUGCCGGAUUAGAUAGUUGGGGGGGUAAAGGCCCACCAAGGCGACGAUCCGUAGCUGGUCUGAGAGGAUGAUCUGCCCCACUGGAACUGAAACAAGGUCCAGACCACUAUGGUAGGCAGCAGUGGGGAGUAUAGUACAAGGGGCGCAAGCCUGACCCAACCAUACCGCGUCGCUGGAGAAAGCCUUCGGGUUGGAAAGCUCUUCUGUUGGGAUAGAAAGGCAGCAGGUCAAUACCCCGCUUUUCUGACGGUACUCUAUGAAUAAGCACCGGCUAACUUCGUG